This 1938-nucleotide ribosomal RNA is filed under the name Triticum aestivum (bread wheat). RNAcentral describes it as "partial small subunit ribosomal RNA". Lineage: Eukaryota; Viridiplantae; Streptophyta; Magnoliopsida; Poales; Poaceae. The record is from RNAcentral.
AUGUACACAGUAACUGAAGGAGCCGUCUGUUGCGGACGGGCAUUCCACAUGGCUCCUCUUUGCCGUGAGCCGCUCUCGGCGUCUGCAGGGUUUGCCGUGCGGUGUCUCUUUGCCUGUACAAAGCUGAUAUGGUCCACCUGCUGCUAUUGCGGCAACCAACUUGGCAUAGUGCAAUGUUGGACAAAUCGCCGGUUGGCAGCGAGGGUGCAGCCUCUAGAAGAGCUAGAGGCAUCGGAGAAGAUGAUCUUAACGAUCUGGUUACUCAGAAAAGAGGUUCACGAGCACAGUCUCCUGGUCAUCGCGCGCCGCAACCCAGCCGCUGUCGUGCGAGUCGACCAAGCACUUGUCCUCCGCCUUGCUCGGGACUGGAGGCGCAGGAUCCACGCGUCGUCGGGCCCACACAGGUGCUUCGUCCUGCUGCUGGACGAGUACGAACCGCAGGGGGUGCUUCGUCCGGCGCGGCGAGAGGAGCAGCGCCGCGGCCUGCAGACGGCGGCGAGGCGCACGCGGUCGCGCGGGGAGGCGAGCCUGAGGUGGAUAUUGUCGAGCAGGUCGUCCGGGAGGUCGGAGUCGGACCACCGCGCUGUUGAAGACUUGGUACCACGGUGGCCAUCGCCGGAGGCGUUCCGUGACUUGUCUGCUCUGUACCCCCGCGCGCCUUCUUCCUCCGCCGCGUUAGCUAGGGUUACGUACAUGACGCAGGGUAAGUGGAGGCGAGUUGUAUGGAAACAUCGCGGCAAGGCAAGAGACGACGCGUCGGCCAGGCCGCCGGAGGUGGAGGAGCCGGUGGUGGGCGAGAGCUUCGAGUUCGCCUUCAACAACGAGGCCUUUUCCGACAGGGUGCUGAAGGUAGAGGUCGUCGGCAGUGAAGAUGCUGCCGGGUCUCACAGACGCAAGCGCCGCCCAGAGGAGGACAAAAGCAAUGAUGGAGAAGUUCAGCGAUUCUUGCUGCAAGAAGUCCUUUUUUCUUCAAGCUUUUUCUCAAAUGGCAUGAAAGAGUCUGAUCAGAGGCAAGCAACACUUACAAUUGGAGAUUCAGAGGAAAAGGCCUUCAUGGAGCUUUUAAUCUUUAUGUAUAGUGGGAAGUUGACACCAACAACUGAGCCUACUCUUCUACUUGAUAUCUUGAUGAUCGCUGACAAAUUUGAGGUCAUUUCUUGCAUGAAGCUUUGCAGUCAGCGGCUGCUAGACCUGCCUAUGACCCCAGAAUCGGCAGUGAGGUGCCUAAAUGUGCCAUGUUCCAUUUCAAUGGCAGCUGCCCUCAAAGAGGCAGCCAAGCAAUUCCUUGCAGAAAGGUACAAGGAGCUCCUGUCAACAAACUUCCAAGAUGAACUAAUGAGGGUCCCUCUUGCUGGGAUUCAGGCCAUCUUAUCAAGGAAUCGCCUUGGGGCUGCAUCGGAAGAAUCCAUUUAUGACUUUGUGCUCAGGUGGGCACGUUCACGGUACCCAAAUUCGGAAGUAAGGGACAAGAUUUUGAGUUCACGUUUACUUCCACUGGUGCCAUGGGUGCUCGGGAUGACCGAUGACAUUCAAAUUGAUCAUCCAUCUUGUAUAAUUAACUUCACUAUAAAGCGUGAGAAGUGUUGCAGGCUGGUCCCAUCAGGAUUAAUGCGUUCUCCGUCGUUCCAUUGCGCGGGGCGUGACUUCUUCCUCUCGGCAUGUUGUGUGACGACAGAUCAGUCCCAAUUUUUUAGCCUCGCCAUAAAGAUGUUAGAAGACAAGGGGGCAGUAAGGGGGAAAAUAGAUUAUGAGAUUGGGGCAAAGACAAGACCAUCGCUGAAGUUCGUCACCAAGUACAGGUGCACCACCUCCACCGAUAGUAUGGGACAAGAUGGUUGUUGCGUUCCUUGGUCGGAGUUAAUGGCUGACGACAACCCUUACUUCAUCUACGAUAAACUCCAUCUGCAAAUUCACGUGAAGAUAACACCACUGCCAUAG